GAUGAGCAUGCGUCCCAUUAGCUAGUUGGUAAGGUAACGGCUUACCAAGGCUACGAUGGGUAGGGGUCCUGAGAGGGAGAUCCCCCACACUGGUACUGAGACACGGACCAGACUCCUACGGGAGGCAGCAGUGAGGAAUAUUGGACAAUGGGCGCAAGCCUGAUCCAGCCAUGCCGCGUGCAGGAUGACGGUCCUAUGGAUUGUAAACUGCUUUUAUACGAGAAGAAACACUCCGACGUGUCGGAGCUUGACGGUAUCGUAAGAAUAAGGAUCGGCUAACUCCGUGCCAGCAGCCGCGGUAAUACGGAGGAUCCAAGCGUUAUCCGGAAUCAUUGGGUUUAAAGGGUCCGUAGGCGGUUUAAUAAGUCAGUGGUGAAAGCCCGUCGCUCAACGGUGGAACGGCCAUUGAUACUGUUAAACUUGAAUUAUUAGGAAGUAACUAGAAUAUGUAGUGUAGCGGUGAAAUGCUUAGAGAUUACAUGGAAUACCAAUUGCGAAGGCAGGUUACUACUAAUGGAUUGACGCUGAUGGA
This 532-nucleotide ribosomal RNA is filed under the name uncultured bacterium. RNAcentral's name for it is "bacterial SSU rRNA". It matches the Rfam family "Bacterial small subunit ribosomal RNA", at positions 224 to 753 of the family's 1533-position model. The record is from RNAcentral.